GGGUAUUUUCUGUGGGCCGAGUAGUCUUCUGGGACAGUCUCCCAGCUUGGCCUCAGAGCCAUGUGUUAGUGAACAGCAGUGGCUGGUUUCCAAUAACCUGCAUUUAUCAAAGCAGGCUGGCAGAAGCACUGGCCCUAGCUUGCCAGUUUCUGACCCACCUAGUCAUGGGCAGCCCCACCCCCAGCACAAUAAAUUAAUGAUGCUCCCCCUUCACUCUGGAAAA
Molecule: long non-coding RNA, 223 nt
Filed under: Mus musculus (house mouse)
Lineage: Eukaryota; Metazoa; Chordata; Mammalia; Rodentia; Muridae
Description: predicted gene, 39164 (Gm39164)
Source: RNAcentral